AGUGUAUGAGAAAUCAUAAUAAAACAUAAACAUGAAAAAAAUUGAAUGCUAAAAGAAACAAAAUGCUAUAUAUGGGUAUUGAACCCACUACCUCGAGGAAGGCAAGAUAAACCUUCCUCCACUUGGCCAUGGACAACCAGUUGUUACUGUAACAGCCACUCAAAUACAUAAACAAAGAAUAAAUAAAUAACCAAAUUAAAAAAAAAGUAUUAAAUGGGCUCUGAAUGUCCCUAAGGCCCAUCAGGGCGCAGCAAGUUAAAAAGAAAUAGACGUGUGGUCGCCCCACAAAGCCCAAAAGGCGGGCGGAUCCAAACCGGGUUAUCCGAAUCCACAGGCUCGAUCCAGUUUAACCUUUCACCUUCCGCAGGAAAACACGUGGGGGACAGGAAUCUUCCAUCCCAAAAGUCACAUGCAUUGACAGAGAAAAGAGACUUAACAACCUAGGGAGGAACACCACAAAGGCGGCCUCGGGCAGUGGAAAAGGUGUUAUCCACGGUAGCCUUAACUUAAAACAAAAAGCUUUGAUAACGAUGAAAACAAUAGAAAGAACCUAGAAAAACGAAGGAAAUUAAAAACCACAAAAUACACGUCUGCUUCUCAUAGAAACUGAGAUUCCUUUCUAAAAAAAAUGAGUUUUCUCCUUCCCACAGUUGCAAAUACCGAAGGUCUAGUAGCAAUGAUGGCAAUGGAAAUCAGAUCGAACAGAAAAGGGGAAAGACAAAUUCGAAGCUAGACCAAAAUACUUCUCACUCUUUAUCAACAGUCAAGCAAGAAUUAAUACCAGUCACGAGUAAAUCGAGUGCCACACAUAUGAUCAGAAAAGAAAAUUUACCAGUUAUAAAAGGGUUGAACGGCGAUUGGACUGGUGACGCUUGGAUCUUUCGCUCUUUCGUUGAUCGAUUCCACUCCGGUGCGCUCGCUCGUCUACUUUGCCUUCAGAAUAAGCUUCGUCCAAACACCGGCAAGAUGAAGCUCUAGGGUUCUCUCUACAGAACGCCUCCUCCAGUAUCUGCCUCCACCCUUCUUAAAAUUAGGGUUCUACUUCUUAUAGUUGCCAACAAAAUGGAGAUAAAACUGUUGUCAGAAAACAUGAGGUGGACUUCCCAAUUCAUCCCUCCAUCAUGGUUUGUCGUCACGCCCUUGCUUCAAUGGUAUUGGUGGAGCGGGUAUGUACGGAAGUGGAUUUAGAAUUGCCAGCUGUGCGAAGUUGCUUUUUUCUAAACCUGUGUGGUCCCUCCUCCCACUCUUCAUCCUACCCUUCACCUUACCCUUUUACUGCGGGUAACAGGUAGAGUCACUAUUGUAAAUUGAUAACUUGAAAAUCUCAAGUAUUGCAAAGUCCAUUUGGUUAUGACUUAGUCAGUUUCAGGACGGUUGCAUGACUUUGUAACAAUUUGACAUUAUUUGUUGUUGUUUUGGCAUGACAACUGCACGGUUUUGUUGAUUUCACCUGCCACUGCUACGGAUUAAUGGGCAUUUUUUAACUAGCUUGUUUGGAGACGAAGUGCUGCAGAAUUGGCGUUGUUGGGCUAUUGAAAUGCAGACUAGUUUAGGAACCUCAUGGCAUAACAAAUGGAUUUUGAGUCGUGACAUAUUCUUGUGAGCUACAUCCUUAGAAACUUGUACUGUGCAACCAGUCCCUUGAUGCAGAUACAUCAACCACAUUAACUUUUUCAGAGUAUACUCUUUGUUCUACAAAAGAACCAAUAUUUGUUGGCUAGCUGCCGUGAUCACCAGCAGUUGUUGAGGACAAAUUAGACAAAAGAUGCAAAGAUAAUAGUAGCUUGCUCAGCAGGGGGAACAAUGAAACCGACACCAAAUCUGCCAGAAGGUCAACAAUCUAGGUUGGCAACAAAUCAGUCUGUUUUUGUAUUGGGAUUUUCUUGAAGCAAUCUCGGCUGAAGUCUUCAGGUACUUGUGGUAUUUAUUGCAUCUCUCGUUGAAAGAACCCAACGUCCGUGAGUUGGAAAUUGGCCUGUUAGAAUCAGAUUUUGUGACAAAUCAAACUGAACCUGCAUAUGUUCUCGCCCUCUAUGGUGGUAAUGGUCUGCUGUCAUGAUUGUUGAAAGGAACAUUGGGAGCUACUUCUGACUUGUCGGUUAUUGGAGAAGCAAACAUGGUUAGAACCUUUGCUCAUCCUUGACCUAUCACCUUGAUUCUCCUUUGAACCAUAAUAGCGACUUGUAUUGUUUGGACAGUUUCGGUUGAGUAGAAAAAAAACAAGCGGUUUGGGAUGAACACUGGAGGAUAUUGCGUCGUGCUAAGUUUUUUUGGAUGACGCCGGCAAGCACAGUGUCUCCUUGGCAGCAAGAGCAUUCCAUCCACUUUUCCAGCCGCUUGAUAAACACUGAAUGUAUCUUGGAUUGACAGUAAACCAGGAACAUAACCUUCAUACCAAGAUUCCCAGUUACGUUUCAUACCCAGCAGUAAUAGCUGGCAGUGGGCAUCCAUUAGACCAGCUCUUAUUUCUAUCUGGCCAACAGCACGGAGCAUGCUCUUUUGAGUUCGACGGUCUUUUUCAAAUUCAACUCAAGCUACUAUGUGAAGCGAAGACUGUUUUACAAAGCCCAAACACAUCAGAGAGAAAUGGAUGGUUCGCCACCGGAAUUUCUCAAAUCAAAUCUCUGGUUGAAAUGGUUCAGUAGCAUGGUUUAACGUUUAUAGUUAAUGGACUAGUGUGCAUUUCAUUUGGCUUAUUUGGAAACCAAAACCUGUAGGAUCGAGGUAGGCAGCAUGGACAUGUUCAAAACCAUUAUGAGAAGGUAAAUCAUUUGGCUUGAUCUCAGUAUUUGAUACCGAAGCUUCGGGCAAACCAUGAACAUACGAAGGCAAAUUCAUGGCAUUUUCAGAAGUGCUUGAAUGAACUUGCUGUGUGUUAACAGUUUCCAGAUCAGUAAAUCCAUCCCAAGCAUGGGAUACCCUCGGUUUUGUUUUUUCAACUUCAACAUUGUCUAGUGGUGGAGGCAAACAUUGUGAUAAAUUGAGUCCGUAUUGUUGAAUAGCUUGUGUUUGGACACAAUAUAUCUGGACCAGAUGGUCUCUAUUCGGUAAACUAUCACUAGUUCCGAUAAGGCUUAAUAUAAGCAUUGUGACUAUGAACUCGGAAAUAUAAUUCGCGCGAGUAGCAGUUGGAUUAUGUAUGUUGAAACUUGUGCAUCAUGAUUUUCCAUGGGUUAUGAUGUAGCAGUGUUAAUUGAUGCAAAAUGUUGGCAAUGUUGCAGGAUGUUGGUUCAUGUUGGUGAUGUUGCAAAUGCUGCUGGUGAUUGCAGGUAUUGGUUGUGGUUGGAGAGGCGAAUACUUUGGCAUCAAGAAGCUUCCCAAUAUCAGGUCCAUGACAGACAGGGAGAAAAUGCAAUGCUCAGGAGUUGUGAUGCAGUUGAAAAGAAUGGGUAGUAGGCCAAGGGUUGCAUUUGAAACCUUUGAGAAAUCCUUUCCACAACCUUCGUCUGCUGCCGCAUCAAAAUUCAAAUUGAGGGAGUUGGACCAGGUAUAACACAAGAGUAUUUCUUGUCUGAGCACCACAUAUCAAAUAAUUUUCGUGACAAUCCACUCUGAAGUCCACCGGGGCUCGCCAUCACCACAAUUGGUCCUACGUCUUUGAAAACAUCAAUGUUGCUCAUUGCCGAUAUGUGCUUAAAGGAAAACGGAUUUGACUUUGCAUUCCGAAUCCAGGCAUUGCCGAUAUUGCCGUAACAUCAGGCAUAACACCAAUAUAAGCAAUUGACAACUGAACAAACCAUUUAAGAGACGAAUCAACGUUACAAACAUUGAGACGAAGAUUGUCAUUAAACACAGGUUUCCUUCCACCUCCAUUGAUAGUCUUCGUAGAAACAGCAUUCUCAGGAUUACUCGUCAGGUUUGUUAAUGGAAAGCCGUAGGCUUGGUUUCUUGGUGCGCCGGCUAAUGAAUAGACUUGGAGGUGUAUCAUGGCAUGGUGGUAUGGUUGCAAGUGUGCAGACUUUCUUCUGCCAAUCUCAGGAAAGAGAUAGACGGCUUAAGGUUUACCCAAGUUUCCAUUGCGAGAGACCCUUGUCUUGUAAGUAGUCUCAACUUCUCGGAGUGUAGCGAUGCAUUUACGAAUGCUGGAUGGAGCUAAGAAAGUGGAUGAAGAAGAAGAGAUUGAAAGCGUGAGGUUUUGGGUUAUAGACACUUUGGAUGGGAAAAGAGGAGAGUGGGAGCGUGAAUGUAGUGUGUUUGUGAAUAGCACCAUUAGACAAUUCGCUGAGCAAAUUAGUCUUCUUUUUUAUUUGCUUCAGCUUCUCUCUACAUUCCCCUCUUCUGAUAAGCUGACAAGGGUAACAUAUAAGUAUCUUUAAUGCAUAUUUUCAGAUUAGCCGA
Long non-coding RNA from Lathyrus oleraceus (garden pea), 4338 nucleotides. RefSeq lists it as uncharacterized. The transcript has 7 exons. The record is from RefSeq and is a predicted model, not a curated record. Lineage: Eukaryota; Viridiplantae; Streptophyta; Magnoliopsida; Fabales; Fabaceae.